AAUCCCACUUUUGUGGACUAU
This 21-nucleotide small nuclear RNA is filed under the name Arabidopsis thaliana (thale cress). RNAcentral describes it as "snRNA_14440". Lineage: Eukaryota; Viridiplantae; Streptophyta; Magnoliopsida; Brassicales; Brassicaceae. The record is from RNAcentral.